AUGAACGCUGGCGGCGUGCCUAACACAUGCAAGUCGAACGGAGUCCAGCCUUUAAGACCUUCGGGUCAAAGAGGGGAAGACUGAGUGGCGGACGGGUGAGUAACACGUGGGCAACCUGGCUCAUAGAGGGGGAUAACAGAAAGAAAUUUCUGCUAAUACCGCAUAAGCACACACUGCCGCAUGGCAGAGGGUGAAAAGAGAAUCGCUAUGAGAUGGACCCGCGUCUGAUUAGCCAGUUGGCAGGGUAAGAGCCUACCAAAGCGACGAUCAGUAGCCGAUCUGAGAGGAUGAACGGCCACAGUGGGACUGAGACACGGCCCAAACUCCUACGGGAGGCAGCAGUGGGGGAUAUUGCACAAUGGGGGGAACCCUGAUGCAGCGACGCCGCGUGAGUGAAGAAGUAUUUCGGUAUGUAAAGCUCUAUAAGCAGGGAAGAUAAUGACAGUACCUGAAUAAGAAGCCCCGGCUAACUACGUG
This 477-nucleotide ribosomal RNA is filed under the name uncultured bacterium. RNAcentral's name for it is "partial 16S ribosomal RNA". It matches the Rfam family "Bacterial small subunit ribosomal RNA", at positions 30 to 507 of the family's 1533-position model. The record is from RNAcentral.